Molecule: small nuclear RNA, 58 nt
Filed under: Tursiops truncatus (common bottlenose dolphin)
Lineage: Eukaryota; Metazoa; Chordata; Mammalia; Artiodactyla; Delphinidae
Description: U7 small nuclear RNA (ENSTTRG00000024479.1)
Source: RNAcentral
GAGAGAUUCUUUUAGAAUUUAUCUAGCAGGUUUUCCUGUCCACACCACGAUAACUGUC